This 4401-nucleotide long non-coding RNA is filed under the name Sus scrofa (pig). Its description in RNAcentral is "lncRNA (ENSSSCG00000055955.1)". The record is from RNAcentral. Lineage: Eukaryota; Metazoa; Chordata; Mammalia; Artiodactyla; Suidae.
CUUUUUAAUCUGACAUGAAACCAUCAUCCCAGUGAGGAUGAAGGUAGAAAACAAUAUUUCUUGAGUUAACUCUUUUUUUCCCUGCCAUUUAUUAUUAUUAUACUGACCUGGAGAACUGCUCUAUGGGGAAAGUUUCCCAAGGGGAAGAGUUAAAAGCUUUGGGCAAGGUUGGAGUUAGGACUGAGUUCUGGAACACUGCAAGCUUGGGAGAGGGUGUUAACCUAAAGCCCCAUCUCCACCAUGUUUACUCAGCAUCUCUUGCUCAUUGAGAACCAGGGGAAUGUUUUCCAGACUUAGGGAUUCUUAAGUUCUGGGGAUUUCAUGCCCCACUUUCCUUUCUUGUGACAGUUUGCAAUGUUUAUUAAGAGUUGAACUGAUAUCAGAAAAUAGCCCAAUUUUAACAUUUGCUAUUUUUUCACAGUUAGUGUGAUAGAGUGAAUCAUUAGUCUCAAUUCUCCAAUUACUGGUUUAUACACUCAGCCCCUUGCUAAGGCUUUAUGGUAGCCAGAGUGUAAUCCUGACCCCUUGGUUUUGAGCAUGAUAAUGAGACUUGCUGUGGCCAAUGGGAUGUUAGCAGAUAGGACACAGGUGAGGUUUGAAGUGUGCCUGUGUAAGAGGGGUUGGCUUCUGUGCUCCCACCUUUUGCCAUGAGACCAUUCUAUGGGUAACCACUAGACAAGGAAGACAUGGAGAGCCAUAGAACAAAUAUAGACCUGGCCUGUAGCUUGGAACCAUGCCCAGCUGAGCCUGGCUUAGGUAAGCCAAUGUGCAGAUGUGUGAGUAUGAGAAUCCAUGGUUAUUGUUAUAUGCCACUGAAUUUGAGAGAUGGUUUGCAGCAUUGUUCUAGAUAGAUCUGACUAGUACACCUAGAAAUAUAUUUUCAAGGCCUUAUAACUUAUAAUAAACUCAUAUUUUAAUUUAUGCUUGGCUUAAAAUUCUGUAUAUGAAGUUCUAAAAAAAGAGAGAGAGAUGCUUAAUAGUUCAUUUAAGUCCAAUUUUUUUUUUUCCUAGACCCUGGCUCUUGGCCACUCAGGCUAUUUCUGUACAUUGAACAUACAUUAGCUAAUGUAACUUAGAGGUAAAUAGUAGGAUGGUGGGGAGGGGAAAUAGAGAAAUCUAGUAGAUAUUAAAUUCAACAAAUAUUUGUAGGAGUUCCCGUCAUGGCUCAGUGGUUAACGAAUCCAACUAGGAACCAUGAGGUUGCAGGUUCGAUCCCUGGCCUUGCUCAGUGGGCUGAGGAUCCGGCAUUGCCAUGAGCUGUGGUGUAGGUUGCAGACGCGGCUCAGAUCCCACAUUGCUGUGGCUCUGGCAUAGGCCGGUGGCUACAGCUCCAAUUCGACCCCUAGCCUGGGAACCUCCAUAUGCUGUGGGAGCAGCCCAAGAAAUGGCAAAAAAAAGACAAACAAACAAACAAAACAAAUAUUUGUAGAAUUCCUGUGACAUGCAAGGUAUUUUUCUAGGUACUAGAUGUACACAGAUAAAAGUCUGAGCCAUGCGGCUGCUGCUGGGCUCUGGCUUUUGGUCGGCCAAGAGCCAGACUGCUUGGACAGCCAGACACGGCUCCCUGCGCCGAGCCACCCAGCCGCCUGCUCCAAGCUUGUCACCACUGUAGCCCAGCCAGUGGCCCAGAGGUGGACCAUAAAGUGAAUGGUGGUGGGAGAUAGCGCUGUAGGUAAAACCUGCCUACCAAUCAGUGCAUUUCGUGGAGCAUAUAUCCCCACUGUCUUUGACAACUAUUCUGCCAAUAUUAUGAUGGAUGGAAAACCUGUGAAUCUGGGCUUAUGAGAUAUUGCAGGACAAGAAAAUUAUGACCAAUUUACAUCUCCUAUCCUAUCCGCAAAUAGAUGUAGUCUUAAUUUGCUUUUCCGCUGGAAGUGCUGCAGCAUUUGAAAAUGUUUGUGCAAAGUGGUAUCCUGAAGUGCAACACCGUUAUCCCAACACUCCUGUCAUCCUGGUGGGACGAAACUUGAUGUCAGGGAUGAUAACGACACGACUGAGAAACCGAGGGAGAAGAAGCCGACUCUCAUCACCUACCCACAGGGUUGGCCAUGGCAAAGGAGAUCUCUGUCGUAAAAUACCUGGAGUGCUGGCUCAUGCAGGCAGGCCUCGGGACGGUAACAGCGCUUGAGGAAACUAUUCCAGUGGUUCUCUGCCUGCCUCCUAUCAAGACGAGGAAGAGAAAAUGCCUGCUGUUAUAAAUGUCAGGGCUGCUCCUGCCAGUUCCCUCCCCUGGGAACCUUAGUAUGCUUUGCUCCAACCGUGGAGCCUUUGCACUCAGUCCAAGUUUUUCUUACAGAUUAGUUUUUCCACAAAACUGUUUUGAACCGAUCAGUAAUUUCAAGGUUUUGUUUGUUUAAAAUGUUAAGAGUUCAAACUUUCACAGUCUAUUAAAGUUUAGCCCCAAAAUGACAAGCUUUCCUCAAGUCUUAUUUUUCAAAAGCCCCUAUUCUUGCUUACAUUAACAGUUGCCAAAAUACCUUGUUAACUAAGUUGCACUGUUGGGCUAAGAACACUAAGCACUAAACUGUUUAAAGAACUUUGUCUUUAAGACAUGCUACUAUAUACAAAAUCGAUCUGUUAACAACUGUAUAGCUGGGGGAAAUCUGUUUGAUACACUGUGAUGGCCUAUAUGGGGAAAGAAUCUGAAAAAGAAUGGAUGUAUAUGUAUAUGUACGGCUAAUUCACUUUGGUGUACAGGGAAACUAACGUAACAUUGUAAGUCACUUAUACGCCAAUAAAAUUUAAAAAAAGAAAAAUGAAGAAGACUGUAGCUUCUGCGGUUGGGAAAUGCAAACACUUGUAAAUUCCAUUUGUGAGGAGCAAUACCUACCUCCUCCUUCAUGAAAUGUUGCCAUUUAAUGCAUCCUAAUUUAUCAACCUAUGUCCAUUCCCUAACUUUGUACUAUAUGUCAUAAUGAAAGGGUGUAACAGCUCAACUCUUUAGAUCAAUCUUUUUGAUUUCUUAGUGAUUUUUUUUUUAAAUUAGCUUUUGUGAGAUUUUGAACCGAACUCUGACUCACAUGUUCCCUCUGGUGAAGUGUUCUGCUCUGGUGCAUUGGGAUGGAGUGUGCAGAGCACGCGUGUGGUCAAAGGAUGAAGACAGUAUUUUGACAAAAUAUGGAAAUAAAUUUACAACACAUUGUAGAGGUAAUAAACUAUUAAAAAUGUCACAGGUAAACAUUUUGAAAGGUUGCAGCAGAAAUUAUCACAACCUUAUAAAUCAACUAUACUUCAAUAAAACAAAAAAGUUUUUAAAAAUUUAAAGGUUAAUUUCUGUCAAAUGCAGUAGAUGAUGAAGAAAGGUUGGUAUAUCAGUAAGUGUUUACUUAAACUUUUCCUUUUUCUUAAACCUGCCCAUCCCUCCUGAAAUUGGGCAUUUAAUUCAUCUUUGACUUGGUUAUUUUCAUAGUUGCUAACUUAGCAAGUGCUUUUCUUAGAGAAUCCCUUCUUUUAUGAGCAAUAUGUGUCCUUGUAUUAUGAAAUCUUUCUGAAUAUGUAGAAAAAUGUAUUGUGGGUUAGUAAGUGUAUUCCUCUUUUCAUGUUACUUUAUUCAAAGCUAAUAAUAAGUUCUUUCUUUAGUUUUCUAGUAACUAGGUAUAAAAAUCCUGCAUUGCAGCUUUACAGUUUUAAAAAUACUUUAGAUAUUCUUAAACUGUAAACCUUCUUACCAUCACUGUCUUGAUUGCUCCUGACACCACCCCUGGACUAAAACGCUGACCCUCCCCUUGCCUCACCAGCGUGCACGCACACUUCCUAUCCCUGCCUAACUGUGUUCCUCUGGGUCUGUGAGGUUCUGUAAAUCCUGUGUUCAUGCAAACAAAAUUCCAUACACCUUACCCACUGGCAAGAAUACGAGCUUGGACCUUUCAACCGUUAGAACAAAAAUAUUUAAAUUGACAGUUGCAGAAUUGUGGAGUGUUUGUACAUUGAUCUUUUGCCAAUGCAAUUAACAUACUUAGUGUAUGACUUAAUAAAUCCUUGAAUCAUAAAAAACGUCCCUGCCUUUAUGGAGCGUCCUUCUAGUGGCCAUUCAGUAGAUACAGGGGUCAUUCCAUUCCAUAGCGGAACAAGGUUCUCAGUAUCAAAUCAUAGAUUAUGGGAAUGAAAUGGACACAAGGAAUAAGGCAAGUUCAUACCCACUGAGACUUUACUAAGUAGAAGGGUCCACUUACCUUGAAGGGAAAAACUAAGAAAAGGAUGCAAGCCAAGGAAACAAGUAGGAAUGAGUUUCAUUCAAAAUGAGGGAAGAAUUUCAUCUGAGAAAUGGAAAACCUAAAAACAUUAAAAUAAAGCGUUCCCUUGUGGCACAGUGGGUUAAGGAUCUAUUGUUGUCACUGCAGCGACUUGGGUCACUGCUGUGGCAUGGGUUCAGUCCCUGGCUUGGGAAUGUCAACAUGCCAU